GCGGAAGUAGCUCAAUGGUAGAGCCUUCGAUUGCGAAGAGACCUGGGUUCGAUUCCCGGUUGCUUCC
This 67-nucleotide transfer RNA is filed under the name Toxocara canis (dog roundworm). It matches the Rfam family "tRNA". Rfam says of the family: Transfer RNA (tRNA) molecules are approximately 80 nucleotides in length. Their secondary structure includes four short double-helical elements and three loops (D, anti-codon, and T loops). Further hydrogen bonds mediate the characteristic L-shaped molecular structure. tRNAs have two regions of fundamental functional importance: the anti-codon, which is responsible for specific mRNA codon recognition, and the 3' end, to which the tRNAs corresponding amino acid is attached (by aminoacyl-tRNA synthetases). tRNAs cope with the degeneracy of the genetic code in two manners: having more than one tRNA (with a specific anti-codon) for a particular amino acid; and 'wobble' base-pairing, i.e. permitting non-standard base-pairing at the 3rd anti-codon position. The record is from Rfam by way of RNAcentral. Lineage: Eukaryota; Metazoa; Nematoda; Chromadorea; Rhabditida; Toxocaridae.